Molecule: ribosomal RNA, 647 nt
Filed under: Azospirillum lipoferum
Lineage: Bacteria; Pseudomonadati; Pseudomonadota; Alphaproteobacteria; Rhodospirillales; Azospirillaceae
Description: bacterial SSU rRNA
Rfam family: Bacterial small subunit ribosomal RNA
Source: RNAcentral
CCUAACACAUGCAAGUCGAACGAAGGCAUCGGCCUUAGUGGCGCACGGGUGAGUAACACGUGGGAACCUGCCUUUCGGUUCGGAAUAACGUCUGGAAACGGACGCUAACACCGGAUACGUCCUUCGGGAGAAAGUUUACGCCGAGAGAGGGGCCCGCGUCGGAUUAGGUAGUUGGUGAGGUAAUGGCUCACCAAGCCUUCGAUCCGUAGCUGGUCUGAGAGGAUGAUCAGCCACACUGGGACUGNGANACGGCCCAGACUCCUACGGGAGGCAGCAGUGGGGAAUANNNGACAAUGGGCGCAAGCCUGAUCCAGCAAUGCCGCGUGAGUGAUGAAGGCCUUAGGGUUGUAAAGCUCUUUCGCACGCGACGAUGAUGACGGUAGCGUGAGAAGAAGCCCCGGCUAACUUCGUGCCAGCAGCCGCGGUAAUACGAAGGGGGCUAGCGUUGUUCGGAAUUACUGGGCGUAAAGGGCGCGUAGGCGGCCUGUUUAGUCAGAAGUGAAAGCCCCGGGCUCAACCUGGGAAUAGCUUUUGAUACUGGCAGGCUUGAGUUCCGGAGAGGAUGGUGGAAUUCCCAGUGUAGAGGUGAAAUUCGUAGAUAUUGGGAAGAACACCGGUGGCGNAAGGCGGCCAUUCUGGACGGACAC